RNAcentral lists this ribosomal RNA (466 nucleotides) under uncultured bacterium. RNAcentral describes it as "partial 16S ribosomal RNA". It matches the Rfam family "Bacterial small subunit ribosomal RNA", at positions 28 to 507 of the family's 1533-position model. The record is from RNAcentral.
GGCGAACGCUGGCGGCGUGCUUAACACAUGCAAGUCGAACGGAAAGGCCCUGCUUGCUGGGUACUCGAGUGGCGAACGGGUGAGUAACACGGGGGUGAUCUGGCCUGCACUUCGGGAUAGGCGUGGAAAACUGGGUCUAAUACCGGAUAGGAGCCAUCUUUAGCGGGGGGGUGGGAAGGUUUUUUCGGUGUAGGAUGAGCUCGCGGCCUAUCAGCGUGUUGGUGGGGUAAUGGCCUACCAAGGCGGCGACGGGUAGCCGGCCUGAGAGGGUGUACGGCCACACCGGGACCGAGAGACAGGCCACAGUCCGACGUGAGGCAGCAGUGGGGCAUAUUGGACAAUGCGCGCAAGCGUGAGGCAGCGACGCCGCGUGGGUGAUGAAGGCCUUUGGGUUGUAAACUCCUUUCGCUAUGGAUGCAGCUUUUUUGUGACGGUACCUAGAUAAGAAGCACCGGCUAACUACGUG